ACAGUCAGCUCCUCUAAAAUAAAUCAGCUUGCCAGUGUUUGGUGGGUAUCGCAGGUGUGAUAACUAUCUACGCUUGUGGUUUUCCACCAGGUAACCUUCAGCAGUGGAGGUUCACUGGAGCUCACAGAUGUCUCUCCUCAGUGAGGACAGCCCUUUUAAUGUUUGAUCUCAAAUCAGGUAGGACUACCCGCUGAACUUAA
This 200-nucleotide unclassified non-coding RNA is filed under the name soil metagenome. Its description in RNAcentral is "partial contains internal transcribed spacer 2 and large subunit ribosomal RNA". The record is from RNAcentral.